GGAACUCCACUAUGGAGAAGUUCUUUGGCAACAGGAAUCCAAGGUAUUCUUCCUCUGGCCCCUCCACCAGCCAGAGGGGGUCCUUCCAGCGCCCUAGAGGGCAGUGCUGGGAUGCUCCUAGCCUCAGUUCUUUCAGACAGCGCAAAAGCAUCAGAGCUUUUGGAAAGAUCCACAAGGCUCCGAGCAGAGAUGGUGUUGCCACGGUUCAGAAAACGGUCAGAUUUGCAGAUGAUGUCACGAAUGACAGAGACAGAAAUAACAGACCUUUCUCCGGUAGUUCCAGCUAUUCAUCAACAGAAGGUGAAGACAAGGAAAAGUGCUUGUUGUUUGUGAGUUAAUUUUCCUGAUCAGAAUUGUUUUUGUGUACUGUUUCUAUUUCAAUGUUUCUAUGGCGUACCUGUCACCAUUUUAUUUGGACAUUUUGUGGAGACAACUAAAGUAUGGCCCUUUGGUUGGUUAUAAUUUCCUGAUAUGAGAUUUUCACACUCUGAGCUAUUUAUGUUGAUUUCCGUAUCUCACCUUUCCUUGUGCUUGUCUUUCUGUUUCAUUUCCUUCAGUGUUUACUAAUUUGGCCUUAUUUUUCAGAAAUUGUGCAUUGUUGUGCUUAUAUCUGGAUAGUUCUCUGAUUAUUUUUAUUUACUGUGUGUUGUUUUCCAAUACUUUUCUAGGUAAAACAGCUUAACAUUCAGGAAGAAGUGCUAACACAGCCCUUUCAUCUCAACACAGAGGUAGAGGAGACUGGCAGUUCUCUGAAUUUGAGGCCAUCCUGGACUAUAACAGCCAGAGCUGACAAAGAAAUCUUGUCUCAAACAAACAGGCAAACAAGCAAAGAGACAAACAAAUAGCUCCCCACUCCCCAAACAAUGUAGCCUUUAAUUUUAUAUUACCUUGGUUAUUUGUAUACAAGAGAAGAUGUCUCCACAUGUAGAUUUCCAUCUGAGGAAACAAACAUCUUAGCUUGAUGUUAUUUAUCCUUGAAUAGCUUGAACUAAACACUUCUUAGGGGAAUAUAAUUUACUAAAGAACACAGUGGUAAUUUAUUCUUAGAGAUAUUCUUCUUAUAUGUAGUAUAUAUUAUUAUAGGUAAUAUUCAGUUGAUAUUUAGUAAAUUGUUUCAUGAGAUAUAAAAGUAUAAAUGAUUACCUUAUGUACUUUUGUAUUUCUCCCCAUUUUGCCCAUUAUUGCAAUUUGAGUAACAGAGAAAAUAAUUUUUUUAAAUGAACAAUAUAUUUUGAUAUUAGAAUUGCCAACUAUUCUUAUUUUAGGUUUUAGGGCCACCAGAGUCCUGUUGUAGUAUCUGUUAACUACAGUUACCACAGAGUCACAGUAAAUACAUGC
This 1338-nucleotide long non-coding RNA is filed under the name Mus spicilegus (steppe mouse). RNAcentral's name for it is "lncRNA (ENSMSIG00000026270.1)". The record is from RNAcentral. Lineage: Eukaryota; Metazoa; Chordata; Mammalia; Rodentia; Muridae.